UAGGGAAUUUUGGACAAUGGGGGAAACCCUGAUCCAGCCAUCCCGCGUGUGCGAUGAAGGCCUUCGGGUUGUAAAGCACUUUUGGCAGGAAAGAAACGUCAUGGGUUAAUACCCCGUGAAACUGACGGUACCUGCAGAAUAAGCACCGGCUAACUACGUGCCAGCAGCCGCGGUAAUACGUAGGGUGCAAGCGUUAAUCGGAAUUACUGGGCGUAAAGCGUGCGCAGGCGGUUCGGAAAGAAAGAUGUGAAAUCCCAGAGCUCAACUUUGGAACUGCAUUUUUAACUACCGGGCUAGAGUGUGUCAGAGGGAGGUGGAAUUACGCGUGUAGCAGUGAAAUGCGUAGAUAUGCGGAGGAACACCGAUGGCGAAGGCAGCCUCCUGGGAUAACACUGACGCUCAUGCACGAAAGCGUGGGGAGCAAACAGG
Molecule: ribosomal RNA, 429 nt
Filed under: Acidobacteriota bacterium
Lineage: Bacteria; Pseudomonadati; Acidobacteriota
Description: Acidobacteria bacterium partial 16S ribosomal RNA
Rfam family: Bacterial small subunit ribosomal RNA
Source: RNAcentral